Molecule: ribosomal RNA, 273 nt
Filed under: uncultured bacterium
Lineage: Bacteria
Description: partial 16S ribosomal RNA
Rfam family: Bacterial small subunit ribosomal RNA
Source: RNAcentral
UACGUAGGGUGCGAGCGUUAAUCGGAAUUACUGGGCGUAAAGCGUGCGCAGGCGGAUUGUUAAGCAAGACGUGAAAUCCCCGGGCUUAACCUGGGAAUGGCGUUUUGAACUGGCAGUCGAGAGUGUGUCAGAGGGGGGUAGAAGUCCACGUGGAGCAGUGAAAUGCGGAGAGCGGUGGAGGAAUACCAAUGGCGAAGGCAGCCCCCUGGGAUAACACUGACGCUCAUGUACGCAAGCGUGGGUAGCCAACAGGAUUAGAUACCCGCGUAGUCC